GCCAGCUCCCCCUGAGGAGGACGAGGAGGAGGAGGAAUGAUUCUGCGGGCAGUCUGCCAGAUUGGCAAUUUGAAACGCACUGUCUGUGACGGCUGCUGAGGCUGCUGCGGGGGAGUGAAGGGCUGUCAUGACGAUGACCCCUGGAGGUCUGGGAACAGCAUGAAGAAGCAGAAUUGGCGGCUCCAAGCUAACCGGGGCAGGGGAUCAGUGGCAGCUGCUGGAUUCUGAGCUCUGACCUCCCUCCUUGUCAUGUUGCCUGAGGAGAAUUGCAGACAGACCCUCAGACCUCAAAUAUUCUAAAUUUUGAAGUCCCAGCUUUGGCUGAGAGGAGGCCAGCAUUGGAGUACAAGAGAAAUACAUCAUUUCCAUGGAGAAAUGAAGGAACUCUCUGAAGCCUGGAAACCCCUGGGAGGGGAGCACAUGUAUUAUUCUAGAUCAGAACUAAAUAUUCCAGCAUGGAGGAUGACCUCACGUGGCCUCCCUGUCGAAAGACAUGCAACCUAUGUAUUAAGUAAGAUAUUGUUGAUGGCAAGUACACACUGCUUGGCAUUGAUUUCUUCCUUGCUGCAAGGAGGUGGACCCAAGGUGAAUUCAAAAUGGAACACAGGAAAUAAGAAGUAAAUAUAGUGAAAGGCAAGAAUUUGAUUUGAUGAAACUCAUCACUAAAUGAUGAAACUGAUUACUCAACGUAUGUUAUUACUAGAGCUUUUUAGUAGAGAUAUGAUACUAUCGGUGUGAGCCAAUAUAAAAUUGCAUUGUAAUAAAGAGCACUGGAUCUAAAAUGAGA
Macaca mulatta (Rhesus monkey) is the source of this 787-nucleotide long non-coding RNA. RefSeq lists it as uncharacterized. The record is from RefSeq and is a predicted model, not a curated record. Lineage: Eukaryota; Metazoa; Chordata; Mammalia; Primates; Cercopithecidae.